CACUGUGGCCCCAUCCAAUGAAACCCCCGGACAGGGCCAAACAGGUAGGAUAUAACCCCACCCACUUUGCCAAAGAACAGCCCCCACACCACUGGAGGGAUAUCUCCAACCACCAACUUACCAUCCCGAGACAAGGCCAAGUAUAGCCCACAAAGAUCUCCGCCACGGCACAACCCAAGGGGGGGCGCCAACCCAGACAGGAAGACCACGUCAGUGACUCAACACACUCAACCCACUCAAGUGACGCACCCCUCCCAGGGACGGCAUGGAAGAACACCAGUAAGCCAGUGACUCAGCCCCUGUAAUAGGGGUAGAGGCAGAGAAUCCCAGUGGAGAGAGGGGAAACCGGCCAGGCAGAGACCGCCUCAAAAGCUGUGUUUGCAAGCUCUCUGAGUUGUUAGAUAGGCAAGCCAACGUGGGCUGUAGGGCCCAAGUAGGUAAUGAAGAUGCAGCGGCAACUCGGUACUGGAUUGAAAUAGAGAGGCAUCAGUCAUCGGACACCAAAAACAGAGCAAUGGACACGGACAUGAAAAAGCGAAAGCCGUGUUGCCAGAGACAUUUUAACUAAUGUAGCUUUGGCCAGUCACCUAAAAGAGAUGUCUGCUGAAGAGAGGCAGUGAAUUGAGGGGGCAACUGAAGACAUGAUGUCUGAUGUGGAGACAGACCCCGAAGACCCAGAAGGUUAAAUCCCACUGGGUUUCACUUUACAUUUCACUUUACUUUAAGUUGCUUGCUCCUGGGUGGGUACAUGAUCAUUAGAAGUAUACCC
This 769-nucleotide long non-coding RNA is filed under the name Salmo salar (Atlantic salmon). Its description in RNAcentral is "lncRNA (ENSSSAG00000081863.1)". The record is from RNAcentral. Lineage: Eukaryota; Metazoa; Chordata; Actinopteri; Salmoniformes; Salmonidae.